This is a long non-coding RNA of Amphiprion ocellaris (clown anemonefish), 491 nucleotides long. The record is from Ensembl. Lineage: Eukaryota; Metazoa; Chordata; Actinopteri; Pomacentridae.
AAGCAGUAAAAGCGAUGAGAAGUGGGCGCGCAGAGUCCGGCUCAGGCUGCCUGGAUGGAUGGGAGGUUCUCCUGCAGUUUGGGGACCAGAUGUGAGAGAGAGGAGGGGGACGAACUCAUCCUAGACAGCGGCUGCAAAAUGCUUCCUGGUCAACGGGUUUCCCUAAAACUUCCCCUGUAUAAUCUGACAGCUCGGACCUUCGGUUGAACGCGUCUAGUUUUAGAGUCAGAGGAGGGUGUGACACACGGCAGAGAAGAGUUGCUGAAAGAGAUACAGCUCUAACAAUGGUUGCAGAGGGCUGGAGAGUAUCCAUCACAGGGCCAGCACAAGGAGACAGAUAACCAUGCAUGCUCACACCCACACCUACAACCAGUCUACAAUCACCAGUUCACCUACUAUGUGUUUUGGACUGUGCGGACCUGCAGAAAACCCUCAAGAAUAUGCAAACUCCACAGAGAAACACCUCAGCUGACAUGCUGUUUUGAAGACAG